UAGGACCCUAUAUGUACUGUUGAUGAAGUUAGGUGCUGUUCUGAGCAUUAUUUGUGGCUAUAGAGUGGUGUUUUGGUUGAGGUUUGUUUAUGGCUCCUCAGACCACUGUGUAUUGCUAUCCUGCGGUCGUUACUAAAGUUGGUAUAACUAGAGAAGCAAGCGGUCGGCAACAUUCAUCUCUCAAGGGGGUGUCUAACUCGGUGUUACAGUGUGUUUGACCCUAAAUUAAUUUUAUGGCGGAAUAUCCCUUUAACU
Non-coding RNA from Xyrichtys novacula (pearly razorfish), 255 nucleotides. The record is from the annotation of a GenBank genome assembly. NCBI's taxonomy places the organism in Eukaryota, Metazoa, Chordata, Actinopteri, Labriformes, Labridae.